UUAGUUUAUUAACUUGUUUAUCAGACGUAGACGUUUACUGACUGGAGUUUUAAGGUCCUCUGGCGGUCGCGAUCGCACGAGGCGCUCUCGAGCCGCCAAAGCAACAGAGGUAUGUUCACAAAGGGUGGGAGAUUCGAGCCGAAGCCCGAGAACUCGGUAAUGAUCCUUCCGCAGGUUCACCUACGGAAA
RNAcentral lists this unclassified non-coding RNA (189 nucleotides) under uncultured fungus. RNAcentral's name for it is "sequence contains ITS1". Lineage: Eukaryota; Fungi. The record is from RNAcentral.